Molecule: long non-coding RNA, 170 nt
Organism: Dendronephthya gigantea
Lineage: Eukaryota; Metazoa; Cnidaria; Anthozoa; Malacalcyonacea; Nephtheidae
Exons: 3
Source: RefSeq, a predicted model, not a curated record
CUGCUGCUCCAUGGCCUUAAUCAACUAUUCCUAUGACCCCCAAUGCAAUCAUUUCUGCAGAAAAGCAGGAAUCUGCCAAAACAAGUCAUAGCAAUGCAUCAGUGUCCAGUGCUUUUGUGAAAACACCUGAAUCUGGAAAAAAGAAUAUAUUAUCCAUAGAGCUGCCUGAA